This 4243-nucleotide long non-coding RNA is filed under the name Hordeum vulgare. Its description in RNAcentral is "long non-coding RNA (HVUL_LNC002875)". Lineage: Eukaryota; Viridiplantae; Streptophyta; Magnoliopsida; Poales; Poaceae. The record is from RNAcentral.
GCAUGCUUUCCACUGAAAUCUUCCUACCGUGCACCGCGUCGCGCGGAGGUGUAGCCCUUCGGCGUCGCGCAGAGCCCGUCGUGUCAACACCAUUGGAAAUGCCCGUUAUUCGCCUCCUUCCUUCCCAUGACUGGUUGAGCUAUUUUAUGUGCAGUCAAAGAUCGAGAGUAAGGGCAAAUUAGCAGACGCAUGCACCGACCAUACAUACGUCUUGCUAUAGACAAUGCUACAUGGAUGUACGUAGCGACAUGUGUGUGGAUGUGUGUCAAGUAAAAGAUCCGGAUCUGGCUAUUUCUAAUGAGUAAUGCUACGUCUAUAAAGGCUUAUUUAAAGAUUUUACGUAUAAACAGAUGUGUAAGAUUGUGAUUGGUAAUUGAGAGAUGAGAGGCCCCAUCCGCACUGAAAAUCAAGGGGUGAGACAAGAAUUAGUUUGGAGCAAUGAUACACUUACAUAAGUUUAUAUGUGAUUUACAAACAAGUGGAUUUUGAUUGGGGAUUAAAAAGAAUGAGGGUACCACCCCAGUUGAAAAUCAAGGGAAGAAUGGUUAGUUAGAAAGAAAGAAAUUUAAUCAGUGUGUAACCUUAUUAACUAUUUGUAUGUCUAGCAUUUUUGAUUAGUUAGGAAGGAGUAAGUCUUUGUAGGUCUACCAUUAUGACCACCUUGGUUUUCCCGUAUGCAGACGUAGGAAGGCCACAAAACCGGAGGUCCGGCAACGAUCGAUGACACCUUGACAGACGGUAGCCACAUGCGUUCCACAGAAAAAUCUCUCCCGCCGGCCGGCCGUCGCCGGCCGUUGUGUGUUGAGCUGUGGAUCGUCGGCGUGGACGUAAUAUGGAGUAUGGACCAGACCGUACGAACGGCACCCAUCACAUGGAAUAUGGAUUAUGGUGCGUGCCGGCCGGUUGAUGCAACCACAUGCAUGCGCCGUGUGGGGCGCGUGGCCGUGUGGGGGUGAGCUCGUGGAUCACGCGGCCGCGUACACCGGCAGUGAAACUUGGACAGUCACUGCUGCCCUCGUUCGGUGGCGGGUCUAGCCUGGGUUUAUGGACAUUGAUAAUGCUAGGCUGGUGGUCGAGGGACCAGCCUCUUGGAACGGAAGGUAGGCUCACGCUGAGUGGCACUUCUCGUGGCGCAGCUUCUUCGAUCGAUCACUCACCGGUGGGUACACUACAACCUACAGGUUACUAAGAGUACUGCGGAGAACACGCGUGCAUGAUCACUUGCGGGUCACUAGCAUAACAAUGUCCUCUUCUUCGGGCAAAUCAAAUUUCUCGUCUGACGAUGAAUCGUCGAUGAAUGAUGAUUCAACCGAGUUCAUCUAUAAUCCAGACAACCACCGUCAAACAUACUUUCCAAUCUUAAUUUAAAUCAUCAAGUUUUGUUUUUUUUACCAUGGGAAAUUCCGUCGAACACCUUGUGUGUGGGGUGGAAGAAGAUGGCUGGCGGUUGGAUUGGUCGCUGCUGUGGAUGGCUGCGGACAGCGGCGCGGAGCAGAAGGAAGCACGGCGGCCGGCAGAGCGGAGCUAUAUGGGUUGUCGGUCCGUCGGAGUCGACGAAUCCAGACGCGGUUGCUUUCCGAAACGGCGGCGCCGAGGCGGCUGCGAGACGCCCUCCGUCGGGGGAGGCGAUGCGGGCGGGCGGCGGAUGGCGGCGGCGACUUAUGCGGUGCCGGCGGCGACUUUCGGCGGCUGGUGCUCGGUCGCGGGCGGGUGAUCGCGAGGUGGAAGGGGAAUUGACUGGCGUUUGGUCGUUUAACACGCGACCGCGGUUUUACAUUAACUGUAUCUCAUCAUGUAAAUUUACAUCAUGAAGAUAUAUUUUUUUUACAUAUAGACCAUCUAUCGAAGCAGCUUUUUUUGCUUGCGAAGAUUAAAAAUUAAGUAUUUUCACAUAUAAACCGUUCAUUAAAGAUGCUCUUACACAGAGGUGUAGUAUAAGUAUAAGUAAAUAUGCAUGCGUACGUGCCGGGUUAGCCCUGGCGGCUUGAGCGUGCGGCCGCCUAGCUGCGCUACACGUCUUCAUUUUCCGACUCUCUUUGUAGUACAGACACGGCAAGCUUGUACAAUCAAUGUAGUAAUUGACUAUGCAAUUCACUAUUUCCGAGUGGACUGUAAAUAUAGUUUUAUUUUUCAGGUGACUUUAAAUACGGUUAUCUCCUCAUCCUCGCAAGAAAAUGGGUAUCUUCCAGUGAAGAAUUAUAGGUGUCUAAGACCAUCUUUAGCAGACUUCAUAUAAUGGUUAAACCCAUAAAAAACGCGUGUUUAAAAUUUCGGUCGAAAACACGGCGCGGAGCAGAUUCCGUAAAAUUUGUUUGGUCCGUAAAUUUUCUAAGGGGUAUGAUAAAUCUAUCCGCGAAAACGUUAUAUGUGCUGUUUUGAAGACAAUAUACAGUUCAACCUUUAAAGUGCUCAAAUCUCGUCGGAGCAAAUGCGCCGCCGCGAAAUUGGCUAGAAUGUACCUGAAACUUAUCGGAAUCUGUCCACGCAUGUCGGAAGAAGCCGCCGCACGCCACAAUUUAUCGCCGCCGGUCCGAAUUACGGCCAGCUCGACCUCCACUGUCGGGGCGAGGUCGUCCACCUGCAAGGCGGAGCAGGCUACCGACGGCCGAAAUCAGGGGGGCACAGGAGAAGAGCGAGGCAAGGGUGGGGAAGCUCGUGCGGCCACCUCGGGGAACGCGUGUGCAGCAACUGGAGUGCCGGGCUGAAAUCAGGGACGGGUGAGCGCGCUAGGGAGCGCGCGGUCGGGGGUGCGCGACGCAAGGCUCCUCCAGUGCAUGCGUGGCUCGGAACGGGCGGGCACUGGGACGAGGCGGGGGCGAGGAGAGCGGCGCCAUGGUGAGCGGGGGUGCCAGAGCGAGGCACGCCGUGGCCGGAGAUGGUUCACCGGGACAGGAGGUAAAAAAUGACUUAUAAUGGGAUAUAAUUUUAUUUACAGGGUCUGCUCUCUCGAGGCAAUUUCAUUGUGUCAAAACGGUUUAAAGUGGUUUCUAAAGUUCGACUUUUACAGGGUUUACUAGCGAUGAAGCUUUAAUUAAGAUAUUUUAACUCAUUGUACUUGUAUAGGAAUCCCGCUAUACGAGUGAUAAGAUUCGUUGGCUCUUAGCACAACACUGAAGAAGAAUUUGGUCUGUAAAAUAGUACUCUAUCUGUUCAAAAAUAAGUUUUGUUGAUCUGUCAUAAAUUUAUACUAAUUUAUUAUUAAAUAUAUGUUAUUUAUUUUGGGAAAGAGGGAGUAAAAAAUAACUAUGUUAUACUCCAUCCAUUUUUAAAUAUAAGUCAUUUUCAAGAUUUUAGUAGGAACUACAUAUGGUUGUAUAUAGAUAUAUUUUAAAAUAUAAAUUUAUUUAUUUUGCUUUGUAUGUAGUCACCUAAUAUUAUUUAAAAAAACUAUAUUUGGGAACGGAUAUAUAGGUUACACUAUAAGUUACUCACCACUAUGGCCUAUGGGAAUAUGAAUAGCGUAAGGAAAAUUCGUAUGGAUUGGAGGCGGUCGGCAUGGUCUUCAACGAUACCAUUGCACCACCGCACCAUGAAAAUGAACUGCCAAUUAAAGUCUCUUCUCUUUGAGCUUCAGAAGACACGCCCAAGCAACUGCCAAUUUGUCACACCACCGCACUGUGAAGUCAGCUGCCAUCAGCUCGAAAAUGACAUCUAAGGGAACCCCAGAAUCAACCAUUCAUUUCACAACAUUUUCAUAAAAAAGGACGUCCAUCUCACUGAUAAAAGGUGGGAAAAAUUAUUGGAACACGUACGUCAUGACCCCAUUAUUUGAACGUAGAGAUCAUACUAAGACCAGAAGGAACUCGAAGCAUGCUUUCCACUGAAAUCUUCCUACCGUGCACCGCGUCGCGCGGAGGUGUAGCCCUUCGGCUUCGCGCAGAGCCCGUCUUGUCGACACCACCGGAAAUGCCCGCUAUUCGCCUCCUUCCUUCCCAUGAUCGAUUGAGCUAUUUUAUGUGCGGGCGGAGGGUCCGGGAGAAGAUCGAGAGCAAGGGCAAACUAGCAGACGCAUGCACCGACCAUACGUCUUGCUAUAGAAAAUGUUGCAUGGACGUACGUAUCGACAUGUGUGUGUCAAGUAAAAGAUCUGGCUCUGGCUAUUUCUAAUUGUGGCCAGCGCUGGUUUUUUCCAUAUGCAGACGUAGGAAGGCGACGAAACCGGAGCUGCCGGCGACGAUAACACCUGGACGAACGGUAACCACAUGCGCUCCACGGAAAAAUCUCUCCCACCGGCCGGCCGUUG